GUGGUGGCUCAGUGGUAGAGUGCAUGCCUAGCAUUCGCUAGACACUGGGUUCGAACCUCAGCACCACA
This 68-nucleotide transfer RNA is filed under the name Marmota monax (woodchuck). Its description in RNAcentral is "tRNA.Ala". The record is from RNAcentral. Lineage: Eukaryota; Metazoa; Chordata; Mammalia; Rodentia; Sciuridae.